GUGCCAGCAGCCGCGGUAACACGGGGGGAGCAAGCGUUGUUCGGAAUCACUGGGCGUAAAGGGCGUGUAGGCGGUCAGGUAAGUGGGACGUGAAAUCCCUCGGCUCACCCGAGGACCUGCGUCCCAUACUGCUUGGCUUGAGUACGGGAGAGGAUGGAGGAAUUCCUGGUGUAGCGGUGAAAUGCGUAGAUAUCAGGAGGAACACCGGUGGCGAAGGCGUCCAUCUGGCCCGAUACUGACGCUGAGGCGCGAAAGCUAGGGUAGCAAACGGGAUUAGAUACCCGCGUAGUCC
Molecule: ribosomal RNA, 292 nt
Filed under: uncultured bacterium
Lineage: Bacteria
Description: partial 16S ribosomal RNA
Rfam family: Bacterial small subunit ribosomal RNA
Source: RNAcentral